This 67-nucleotide transfer RNA is filed under the name Propylea sp. HSL-2016. RNAcentral describes it as "tRNA-His". The record is from RNAcentral. Lineage: Eukaryota; Metazoa; Arthropoda; Insecta; Coleoptera; Coccinellidae.
AUUUAAAUAGUUUAUUUAAAACAUUGAUUUGUGGGAUCAAAAAAAUUAUUAAAAUUAAUUUUAAAUA